GGAAUAUUGGACAAUGGUCGAAAGCCUGAUCCAGCCAUGCCGCGUGUGUGAAGAAGGUCUUCGGAUUGUAAAGCACUUUAAGUUGGGAGGAAGGGUAGUAACUUAAUACGUUGCUACUUUGACGUUACCGAAAGAAUAAGCACCGGCUAACUUCGUGCCAUCAGCCGCGGUAAUACGAAGGGUGCAAGCGUUAAGCGGACUUACGGGGCGUAAAGCGCGCGUAGGUGGUUCAGUAAGUUGGAAGGGAAAUCCCCGGGCUCAACCUGGGAACUGCUUUCAAAACUGCUGAGCUAGAGUACGGUAGAGGGUGGUGGAAUUUCCUGUGUAGCGGUGAAAUGCGUAGAUAUAGGAAGGAACACCAGUGGCGAAGGCGACCACCUGGACUGAUACUGACACUGAGGUGCGAAAGCGUGGGGAGCAAAC
This 423-nucleotide ribosomal RNA is filed under the name uncultured bacterium. Its description in RNAcentral is "bacterial SSU rRNA". It matches the Rfam family "Bacterial small subunit ribosomal RNA", at positions 358 to 773 of the family's 1533-position model. The record is from RNAcentral.